RNAcentral lists this ribosomal RNA (468 nucleotides) under uncultured bacterium. RNAcentral's name for it is "partial 16S ribosomal RNA". It matches the Rfam family "Bacterial small subunit ribosomal RNA", at positions 28 to 507 of the family's 1533-position model. The record is from RNAcentral.
GACGAACGCUGGCGGCGUGCUUAACACAUGCAAGUCGAACGGAAAGGCCCUGCUUUUGUGGGGUGCUCGAGUGGCGAACGGGUGAGUAACACGUGAGUAACCUGCCCUUGACUUUGGGAUAACUUCAGGAAACUGGGGCUAAUACCGGAUAGGAGCUCCUGCUGCAUGGUGGGGGUUGGAAAGUUUCGGCGGUUGGGGAUGGACUCGCGGCUUAUCAGCUUGUUGGUGGGGUAGUGGCUUACCAAGGCUUUGACGGGUAGCCGGCCUGAGAGGGUGACCGGCCACAUUGGGACUGAGAUACGGCCCAGACUCCUACGGGAGGCAGCAGUGGGGAAUAUUGCACAAUGGGCGGAAGCCUGAUGCAGCACCGCCGCGUGCGGGAUGACGGCAUUCGGGUUGUAAACCGCUUUCGCCUGUGACGAAGCGUGAGUGACGGUAAUGGGUAAAGAAGCACCGGCUAACUACGUG